RNAcentral lists this ribosomal RNA (433 nucleotides) under uncultured bacterium. RNAcentral's name for it is "partial 16S ribosomal RNA". It matches the Rfam family "Bacterial small subunit ribosomal RNA", at positions 29 to 507 of the family's 1533-position model. The record is from RNAcentral.
AGCGAACGCUGGCGGCAGGCCUAACACAUGCAAGUCGAACGGAUCCUUCGGGAUUAGUGGCGGACGGGUGAGUAACACGUGGGAACGUGCCCUUUGGUCCGGAACAACUCAGGGAAACUUGAGCUAAUACCGGAUGUGCCCUUCGGGGGAAAGAUUUAUCGCCAUUGGAGCGGCCCGCGUCUGAUUAGCUAGUUGGUGAGGUAACGGCCCACCAAGGCGACGAUCAGUAGCUGGUCUGAGAGGAUGAUCAGCCACACUGGGACUGAGACACGGCCCAGACUCCUACGGGAGGCAGCAGUGGGGAAUCUUGCGCAAUGGGCGAAAGCAUGACGCAGCCAUGCCGCGUGAAUGGUGAAGGUCUUAGGACUGUAAAAUUCUUUCAGCGGGGACGAUAAUGACGGUACCCGCAGAAGAAGCUCCGGCUAACUUCGUG